Molecule: microRNA precursor, 198 nt
Filed under: Oryza brachyantha (malo sina)
Lineage: Eukaryota; Viridiplantae; Streptophyta; Magnoliopsida; Poales; Poaceae
Description: MIR812 microRNA precursor family
Rfam family: MIR812 microRNA precursor family
Source: Rfam by way of RNAcentral
AAAAAGUGUAUUUUUAUAUUGUUUAUGUUCAACAUUUGACCAUCCUUCUUAUUUUAAAAAGUUUUAUGAUGAUUGUUAUUAAUUGAUAAAACAUGAAUAUUAUUUCAUGUGUUACUAUUAUUUUAAAUAUUUUCAUAAAUUUUUUAAAUAAGAUUAACGGUCAAACGUUGGAUAUGGAAUUUCACAAAUAUAGUUAAA